CGCGGCCUAUCAGCUUGUUGGUGAGGUAAUGGCUCACCAAGGCGACGACGGGUAGCCGGCCUGAGAGGGUGACCGGCCACACUGGGACUGAGACACGGCCCAGACUCCUACGGGAGGCAGCAGUGGGGAAUAUUGCACAAUGGGCGCAAGCCUGAUGCAGCAGCGCCGCGUGAGGGAUGACGGCCUUCGGGCUGUAAACCUCUUUUAGUAGGGAAGAAGCGAAAGUGACGGUACCUGCAGAAAAAGCACCGGCUAACUACGUGCCAGCAGCCGCGGUAAUACGUAGGGUGCGCGCGUUGUCCGGAAUUAUUGGGCGUAAAGAGCUCGUAGGCGGCUUGUCGCGUCUGCUGUGAAAUCCCGGGGCUCAACCCCGGGCCUGCAGUGGGUACGGGCAGGCUAGAGUGCGGUAGGGGAGAUUGGAAUUCCUGGUGUAGCGGUGGAAUGCGCAGAUAUCAGGAGGAACACCGAUGGCGAAGGCAGAUCUCUGGGCCGCUACUGACGCUGAGGAGCGAAAGCAUGGGGAGCGAACAGGAUUAGAUACCCUGGUAGUCCAUGCCGUAAACGUUGGGAACUAGAUGUAGGGCCUGUUCCACGGGUUCUGUGUCGUAGCUAACGCAUUAAGUUCCCCGCCUGGGGAGUACGG
RNAcentral lists this ribosomal RNA (643 nucleotides) under uncultured bacterium. RNAcentral describes it as "bacterial SSU rRNA". It matches the Rfam family "Bacterial small subunit ribosomal RNA", at positions 232 to 885 of the family's 1533-position model. The record is from RNAcentral.